Acanthosepion pharaonis is the source of this 98-nucleotide non-coding RNA. NCBI's taxonomy places the organism in Eukaryota, Metazoa, Mollusca, Cephalopoda, Sepiida, Sepiidae. The record is from the annotation of a GenBank genome assembly.
AUUGAAACUCCAGUUCCCAUAAAAUCAUUGAAGUUAAGCAACCCCAAGCCUGGUCAGUACCUAGAUGGGUGACCAUUUGGGAAUACCAGAUGCUGUAA